RNAcentral lists this transfer RNA (82 nucleotides) under Trichodelitschia bisporula. It matches the Rfam family "tRNA". Rfam says of the family: Transfer RNA (tRNA) molecules are approximately 80 nucleotides in length. Their secondary structure includes four short double-helical elements and three loops (D, anti-codon, and T loops). Further hydrogen bonds mediate the characteristic L-shaped molecular structure. tRNAs have two regions of fundamental functional importance: the anti-codon, which is responsible for specific mRNA codon recognition, and the 3' end, to which the tRNAs corresponding amino acid is attached (by aminoacyl-tRNA synthetases). tRNAs cope with the degeneracy of the genetic code in two manners: having more than one tRNA (with a specific anti-codon) for a particular amino acid; and 'wobble' base-pairing, i.e. permitting non-standard base-pairing at the 3rd anti-codon position. Lineage: Eukaryota; Fungi; Ascomycota; Dothideomycetes; Phaeotrichales; Phaeotrichaceae. The record is from Rfam by way of RNAcentral.
GGUCUUAUAGUGUAGUUGGUUAGCACACGGGAUUCUGACACAGAAGCUUCCCGGGACCCCGGUUCGAGUCCGGGUAGGACCU